This 377-nucleotide ribosomal RNA is filed under the name uncultured Planctomycetota bacterium. RNAcentral describes it as "bacterial SSU rRNA". It matches the Rfam family "Bacterial small subunit ribosomal RNA", at positions 521 to 896 of the family's 1533-position model. The record is from RNAcentral. Lineage: Bacteria; Pseudomonadati; Planctomycetota.
UAAUACGGGGGGGACGAGCGUUGUUCGGAUUUACUGGGCGUAAAGGGCGCGUAGGCGGACCUUCAAGUCGGAAGUGAAAACCGUUGGCUUAACCAGCGGCCUGCUUUCGAUACUGUCGGUCUUGAGUUCAGGAGAGGAAAGCGGAAUUCCAGGUGUAGCGGUGAAAUGCGUAGAUAUCUGGAAGAACACCGGUAGCGAAGGCGGCUUUCUGGCCUGCCACUGACGCUAAAGCGCGAAGGCUAGGGUAGCAAACAGGAUUAAAUACCCUGGUAGUCCUAGCAGUAAACGAUGGGUACUAGGUGUCGGGGGUAUCGACCCCCUCGGUGCCGCAGCUAACGCAUUAAGUACCCCGCCUGGGGAGUACGAUCGCAAGAUUG